RNAcentral lists this non-coding RNA (185 nucleotides) under Aquibacillus koreensis. RNAcentral's name for it is "Virgibacillus koreensis 6S / SsrS RNA". It matches the Rfam family "6S / SsrS RNA". Rfam says of the family: E. coli 6S RNA was the first non coding RNA to be sequenced, but its function was unknown until recently. It consists of 184 nucleotides that fold into an extended hairpin structure with a large single-stranded internal bulge. The record is from Rfam by way of RNAcentral. Lineage: Bacteria; Bacillati; Bacillota; Bacilli; Caryophanales; Bacillaceae.
UACAAGCUGCGAUGUACGUAAUGAUAUAAGUUUUAACCUUUAUGCUGUACAAGGGAGUUUUACAUUGUAACUGAAAUGUCAUGCCUCCAUUGUUGUGGAAGACAGGAAAGUUACUGCGAACACCCACUUUGAGGAGUGGUGGUUUAAAACUUUCUAUCUGACGUUACGGCAUUUGUGGCUUCUCU